RNAcentral lists this transfer RNA (76 nucleotides) under Merluccius polli (Benguela hake). Its description in RNAcentral is "tRNA-OTHER". The record is from RNAcentral. Lineage: Eukaryota; Metazoa; Chordata; Actinopteri; Gadiformes; Merlucciidae.
UCCUCGUUAGUAAUAGUGGUCAGUAUCCCCGCCUGUUCACGCGGGAGACCCGUGGUUCAAUUCCCCGACGGGGAGA